UCUGGCGGCGGACGGGUUAGUAACGCGUGGGAAUAUACCCUUCACUACGGAAUAGCCUCGGGAAACUGGGAGUAAUACCGUAUACGCCCUUUGGGGGAAAGAUUUAUCGGUGAAGGAUUAGCCCGCGUCUGAUUAGAUAGUUGGUGGGGUAAUGGCCUACCAAGUCUACGAUCAGUAGCUGGUUUGAGAGGAUGAUCAGCAACACUGGGACUGAGACACGGCCCAGACUCCUACGGGAGGCAGCAGUGGGGAAUCUUAGACAAUGGGCGCAAGCCUGAUCUAGCCAUGCCGCGUGAGUGACGAAGGCCUUAGGGUCGUAAAGCUCUUUCGCCAGAGAUGAUAAUUGCAGUAUCUGGUAAAGAAACCCCGGCUAACUCCGUGCCAGCAGCCGCGGUAAUACGGAGGGGGUUAGCGUUGUUCGGAAUUACUGGGCGUAAAGCGCACGUAGGCGGAUUGGAAAGUAUGGGGUGAAAUCCCAGGGCUCAACCCUGGAACGGCCUUGUAAACUCCCAGUCUAGAGUUCGAGAGAGGUGAGUGGAAUUCCAAGUGUAGAGGUGAAAUUCGUAGAUAUUUGGAGGAACACCAGUGGCGAAGGCGGCUCACUGGCUCGAUACUGACGCUGAGGUGCGAAA
Molecule: ribosomal RNA, 632 nt
Filed under: Rhodobacteraceae bacterium N3
Lineage: Bacteria; Pseudomonadati; Pseudomonadota; Alphaproteobacteria; Rhodobacterales; Paracoccaceae
Description: bacterial SSU rRNA
Rfam family: Bacterial small subunit ribosomal RNA
Source: RNAcentral